AGAGUCGGCUAGGCAGUCGCUGUUGGAUUUAUUUUAACAGAGGAAAGUCCGGGCUCCAUAGGGCAAGGUGCCAGAUAACAUCUGGACGGCGUGAGCCGAUGGAAAGUGCCACAGAAAAUAUACCGCCUGUUUCGAUAGGUAAGGGUGAAAUGGUGCGGUAAGAGCGCACCGCGCUGUUAGCAAUAACAGUGGCAGGGUAAACCCCACCUGGAGCAAGACCAAAUAGGGAAACAAUGGUGCCGCCCGCACUGUUUCCGGGUAGGUUGCUUGAGAUGUUUGGCGACAGGCAUCCCAGAUGAAUGAUUGCCCAAGACAGAACCCGGCUUAUCGGCCGACUCUUUUU
Molecule: RNase P RNA, 343 nt
Filed under: Gammaproteobacteria bacterium
Lineage: Bacteria; Pseudomonadati; Pseudomonadota; Gammaproteobacteria
Description: RNase P RNA component class A
Rfam family: Bacterial RNase P class A
About the family: Ribonuclease P (RNase P) is a ubiquitous endoribonuclease, found in archaea, bacteria and eukarya as well as chloroplasts and mitochondria. Its best characterised activity is the generation of mature 5'-ends of tRNAs by cleaving the 5'-leader elements of precursor-tRNAs.
Source: RNAcentral